This 97-nucleotide ribosomal RNA is filed under the name Lottia gigantea (owl limpet). The record is from RNAcentral. Lineage: Eukaryota; Metazoa; Mollusca; Gastropoda; Lottiidae.
GUCUACGGCCAUACCACGUUGAAAGCACCAGUUCUCGUCCGAUCACUGGUUAGUAUUUGGAUGGGUGACCGCCUGGGAACACCGAGUGCUGUAGACU